AUUGAACGCUGGCGGCAUGCUUUACACAUGCAAGUCGAACGGUAACAGGGAGCUUGCUCCGCUGACGAGUGGCGAACGGGUGAGUAAUGCAUCGGAACGUGCCGUGUAGUGGGGGAUAACGUAGCGAAAGUUACGCUAAUACCGCAUACGCCCCGAGGGGGAAAGUGGGGGACCGCAAGGCCUCACGCUAUACGAGCGGCCGAUGUCGGAUUAGCUAGUUGGUAGGGUAAAGGCCUACCAAGGCGACGAUCCGUAGCGGGUCUGAGAGGAUGAUCCGCCACACUGGGACUGAGACACGGCCCAGACUCCUACGGGAGGCAGCAGUGGGGAAUUUUGGACAAUGGGCGCAAGCCUGAUCCAGCCAUGCCGCGUGAGUGAAGAAGGCC
This 386-nucleotide ribosomal RNA is filed under the name uncultured bacterium. RNAcentral's name for it is "bacterial SSU rRNA". It matches the Rfam family "Bacterial small subunit ribosomal RNA", at positions 29 to 416 of the family's 1533-position model. The record is from RNAcentral.